UGCCUCAUCUCGGGCUUAAGCUUUGCAGUAAUUUGGAUUUAUUUUUGCUUUAUGUUAGCUUGAUUUUGACUUUGGUUCACUAUGAUUUUGAUUUCAGCUUGGCCCUAUUUUUUUUCCUUUGAUCUUGCAAGAAGAAAAAGAGAAAAAAUAGCAGAUGGAAGCUCAAGAGUCCUUUACCAGAAGUUUUUAUUUGAGAACUCGUGAGUUCUACUUGACUGCUUGUUGUUCGGCUCGAGCUUGAUCUAUAUUUUGGAUCACUUUAAUUUUAUGUGAAAAUCAGGCUUUCUUUCCCUUCUUUUCUUUUUUUUUUUGAUCAACAUUGAUCUGGGCUAUUAGGGAUGCUCAUAGGUCACCUCGGUGUUGUCUAAGGCUGAAUGCAUAUGGAGACCUUAUGUCAGGUUGGUGGAUAACACAUGUUAGUUGUUACAAGAAAUUAUUAAUCCAUGAGUAAGUCUCCUGUUUGGCCCAUUGUAGGUUCUGGGUGGAUGGCACUGUCUUAUUUUUUUGUCUGCAUAUGGGAUAGGAAUGACC
RNAcentral lists this long non-coding RNA (531 nucleotides) under Elaeis guineensis (African oil palm). Its description in RNAcentral is "long non-coding RNA (EGUI_LNC060640)". The record is from RNAcentral. Lineage: Eukaryota; Viridiplantae; Streptophyta; Magnoliopsida; Arecales; Arecaceae.